CAGUCGAACGGCAGCACGGGUGCUUGCACCUGGUGGCGAGUGGCGAACGGGUGAGUAAUACAUCGGAACGUACCUUAUCGUGGGGGAUAACGCAGCGAAAGCUGUGCUAAUACCGCAUACGCCCUGAGGGGGAAAGCGGGGGAUCGCAAGACCUCGCGCGAUUAGAGCGGCCGAUGCCUGAUCAGCUUGUUGGUGGGGUAAAAGCCCACCAAGGCGACGAUCAGUAGCUGGUCUGAGAGGACGAUCAGCCACACUGGGACUGAGACACGGCCCAGACUCCUACGGGAGGCAGCAGUGGGGAAUUUUGGACAAUGGGGGCAACCCUGAUCCAGCAAUGCCGCGUGAGUGAAGAAGGCCUUCGGGUUGUAAAGCUCUUUUGUCAGGGAAGAAACACCGGCUCUAACACAGUCCGGGAAUGACGGUACCUGAAGAAUAAGCACCGGCUAACUACGUGCCAGCAGCCGCGGUAAUACGUAGGGUGCGAGCGUUAAUCGGAAUUACUGGGCGUAAAGCGUGCGCAGGCGGUUAUACAAGACAGGCGUGAAAUCCCCGGGCUUAACCUGGGAAUGGCGCCUGUGACUGUAUAGCUAGAGUGUGUCAGAGGGGGGUAGAAUUCCACGUGUAGCAGUGAAAUGCGUAGAUAUGUGGAGGAAUACCAAUGGCGAAGGCAGCCCCCUGGGAUAACACUGACGCUCAUGCACGAAAGCGUGGGGAGCGAACAGGAUUAGAUACCCUGGUAGUCCACGUCCUAAACGAUGCUGACUAGUUGUUCGGGAUUUACAUCCUGAGUAACGUAGCUAACGCGUGAAGUCAGCCGCCUGGGGAGUACGGUCGCAAGAUUAAAACUCAAAGGAAUUGACAGG
RNAcentral lists this ribosomal RNA (863 nucleotides) under uncultured bacterium. RNAcentral's name for it is "bacterial SSU rRNA". It matches the Rfam family "Bacterial small subunit ribosomal RNA", at positions 59 to 917 of the family's 1533-position model. The record is from RNAcentral.